GACGAACGCUGGCGGCGUGCUUAACACAUGCAAGUCGAACGGAAAGGCCCUGCUUUUGUGGGGGGCUCGAGUGGCGAACGGGUGAGUAACACGUGAGUAACCUGCCCUUGACUUUGGGAUAACUUCAGGAAACUGGGGCUAAUACCGGAUAGGAGCUCCUGCUGCAUGGUGGGGGUUGGAAAGUUUCGGCGGUUGGGGAUGGACUCGCGGCUUAUCAGCUUGUUGGUGGGGUAGUGGCUUACCAAGGCUUUGACGGGUAGCCGGCCUGAGAGGGUGACCGGCCACAUUGGGACUGAGAUACGGCCCAGACUCCUACGGGAGGCAGCAGUGGGGAAUAUUGCACAAUGGGCGGAAGCCUGAUGCAGCAACGCCGCGUGCGGGAUGACGGCCUUCGGGUUGUAAACCGCUUUCGCCUGUGACGAAGCGUGAGUGACGGUAAUGGGUAAAGAAGCACCGGCCAACUACGUG
This 468-nucleotide ribosomal RNA is filed under the name uncultured bacterium. Its description in RNAcentral is "partial 16S ribosomal RNA". It matches the Rfam family "Bacterial small subunit ribosomal RNA", at positions 28 to 507 of the family's 1533-position model. The record is from RNAcentral.